RNAcentral lists this ribosomal RNA (468 nucleotides) under uncultured bacterium. Its description in RNAcentral is "partial 16S ribosomal RNA". It matches the Rfam family "Bacterial small subunit ribosomal RNA", at positions 28 to 507 of the family's 1533-position model. The record is from RNAcentral.
GACGAACGCUGGCGGCGUGCUUAACACAUGCAAGUCGAACGGAAAGGCCCUGCUUUUGUGGGGUGCUCGAGUGGCGAACGGGUGAGUAACACGUGAGUAACCUGCCCUUGACUUUGGGAUAACUUCAGGAAACUGGGGCUAAUACCGGAUAGGAGCUCCUGCUGCAUGGUGGGGGUUGGAAAGUUUCGGCGGUUGGGGAUGGACUCGCGGCUUAUCAGCUUGUUGGUGGGGUAGUGGCUUACCAAGGCUUUGACGGGUAGCCGGCCUGAGAGGGUGACCGGCCUCAUUAGGACUGAGAUACGGCCCAGACUCCCACGGGAGGCAGCAGUGGGGAAUAUUGCACAAUGGGCGGACGCCUGAUGCAGCAACGCCGCGUGCGGGAUGACGGCCUUCGGGUUGUAAACCGCUUUCGCCUGUGACGAAGCGUGAGUGACGGUAAUGGGUAAAGAAGCACCGGCUAACUACGUG